This 230-nucleotide unclassified non-coding RNA is filed under the name Glomeraceae sp. Its description in RNAcentral is "partial contains 5.8S ribosomal RNA and internal transcribed spacer 2". The stretch from base 1 to 71 matches the Rfam family "5.8S ribosomal RNA", at positions 84 to 154 of the family's 154-position model. The record is from RNAcentral. Lineage: Eukaryota; Fungi; Glomeromycota; Glomeromycetes; Glomerales; Glomeraceae.
GUGAAUCAUCAAAUCUUUGAACGCAAAUUGCACUCUCUGGUAUUCCGGAGAGUAUGCCUGUUUGAGGGUCAGUAUAAAUAAAAAUCGAGGUGUUGCUUAUGGUGACGCCAUCGGGAUUGGGUUAUCUUUAAUCUUAAUAAAGGUUUAAAUCGACCUAAAAUUGAUGAUAACUUUUGCAUCUCAAGAUGGACAGAAGAAUUUUUUUUUUAUUCGUGCGGAGUUUGCCCAAG